This is a non-coding RNA of Parelaphostrongylus tenuis, 72 nucleotides long. Lineage: Eukaryota; Metazoa; Nematoda; Chromadorea; Rhabditida; Metastrongylidae. The record is from the annotation of a GenBank genome assembly.
GUCUUUGUGGUGUAAUGGUAGUAGCGUGUCUCCGGUAUGGUUGAAACGCGGGUUCGAUUUCCGCCUGAGACC